RNAcentral lists this ribosomal RNA (1372 nucleotides) under uncultured bacterium. RNAcentral describes it as "bacterial SSU rRNA". It matches the Rfam family "Bacterial small subunit ribosomal RNA", at positions 28 to 1381 of the family's 1533-position model. The record is from RNAcentral.
GAUGAACGCUGGCGGCGUGCCUAAUACAUGCAAGUCGAGCGAACGGACGAGAAGCUUGCUUCUCUGAUGUUAGCGGCGGACGGGUGAGUAACACGUGGAUAACCUACCUAUAAGACUGGGAUAACUUCGGGAAACCGUAGCUAAUACCGGAUAAUAUUUUGAACCGCAUGGUUCAAAAGUGAAAGACGGUCUUGCUGUCACUUAUAGAUGGAUCCGCGCAGCAUUAGCUAGUUGGUAAGGUAACGGCUUACCAAGGCAACGAUGCAUAGCCGACCUGAGAGGGUGAUCGGCCACACUGGAACUGAGACACGGUCCAGACUCCUACGGGAGGCAGCAGUAGGGAAUCUUCCGCAAUGGGCGAAAGCCUGACGGAGCAACGCCGCGUGAGUGAUGAAGGUCUUCGGAUCGUAAAACUCUGUUAUUAGGGAAGAACAUAUGUGUAAGUAACUGUGCACAUCUUGACGGUACCUAAUCAGAAAGCCACGGCUAACUACGUGCCAGCAGCCGCGGUAAUACGUAGGUGGCAAGCGUUAUCCGGAAUUAUUGGGCGUAAAGCGCGCGUAGGCGGUUUUUUAAGUCUGAUGUGAAAGCCCACGGCUCAACCGUGGAGGGUCAUUGGAAACUGGAAAACUUGAGUGCAGAAGAGGAAAGUGGAAUUCCAUGUGUAGCGGUGAAAUGCGCAGAGAUAUGGAGGAACACCAGUGGCGAAGGCGACUUUCUGGUCUGUAACUGACGCUGAUGUGCGAAAGCGUGGGGAUCAAACAGGAUUAGAUACCCUGGUAGUCCACGCCGUAAACGAUGAGUGCUAAGUGUUAGGGGGUUUCCGCCCCUUAGUGCUGCAGCUAACGCAUUAAGCACUCCGCCUGGGGAGUACGACCGCAAGGUUGAAACUCAAAGGAAUUGACGGGGACCCGCACAAGCGGUGGAGCAUGUGGUUUAAUUCGAAGCAACGCGAAGAACCUUACCAAAUCUUGACAUCCUUUGACAACUCUAGAGAUAGAGCCUUCCCCUUCGGGGGACAAAGUGACAGGUGGUGCAUGGUUGUCGUCAGCUCGUGUCGUGAGAUGUUGGGUUAAGUCCCGCAACGAGCGCAACCCUUAAGCUUAGUUGCCAUCAUUAAGUUGGGCACUCUAAGUUGACUGCCGGUGACAAACCGGAGGAAGGUGGGGAUGACGUCAAAUCAUCAUGCCCCUUAUGAUUUGGGCUACACACGUGCUACAAUGGACAAUACAAAGGGCAGCGAAACCGCGAGGUCAAGCAAAUCCCAUAAAGUUGUUCUCAGUUCGGAUUGUAGUCUGCAACUCGACUACAUGAAGCUGGAAUCGCUAGUAAUCGUAGAUCAGCAUGCUACGGUGAAUACGUUCCCGGGUCU